Molecule: ribosomal RNA, 488 nt
Filed under: uncultured bacterium
Lineage: Bacteria
Description: partial 16S ribosomal RNA
Rfam family: Bacterial small subunit ribosomal RNA
Source: RNAcentral
UGAACGCUGGCGGCAUGCUUUACACAUGCAAGUCGAACGGUAACAGGCCUUCGGGUGCUGACGAGUGGCGAACGGGUGAGUAAUGCAUCGGAACGUACCCAGAGGUGGGGGAUAACGCAGCGAAAGCUGUGCUAAUACCGCAUGUGAUCUGAGGAUGAAAGCGGGGGACCGAGCAGCAAUGUUUGGCCUCGCGCCUUUGGAGCGGCCGAUGUCGGAUUAGCUAGUUGGUGGGGUAAAGGCCUACCAAGGCGACGAUCCGUAGCUGGUCUGAGAGGACGACCAGCCACACUGGGACUGAGACACGGCCCAGACUCCUACGGGAGGCAGCAGUGGGGAAUUUUGGACAAUGGGCGCAAGCCUGAUCCAGCAAUGCCGCGUGCGGGAAGAAGGCCUUCGGGUUGUAAACCGCUUUUGGCAGGAACGAAACGGUGUCCGCUAAUACCGGGCGCUAAUGACGGUACCUGCAGAAUAAGCACCGGCUAACUACG